GUGUAGGUAAAUCCGCACUUGUUAUGCUGAGACGUGAUGCGUAGCCUUAAUUGGUGAAGUUGGUGAUCCCGUGCUGUCGAGAAAAGCCUCUAGCGAUGUAUAUACUCGGCCCGUACCCCAAACCGACACAGGUAGUCAGGUUGAAAAUACUAAGGCGUUCGGGUGAACUGUGGUUAAGGAACUCGGCAAAAUGCCCCCGUAACUUCGGGAGAAGGGGGACCCUAUGGCGUGAACACCCAUUUGCGGUGGGAAGCGUUGUGGGGUCGCAGAGAAUAGAGGGAAGCGACUGUUUAUCAAAAACACAGGUCCAUGCGAAGACGUUAAGUUGAUGUAUAUGGACUGACGCCUGCCCGGUGCUGGAAGGUUAAGAGGACCGGUUAAUCAAGCUUUGCUUGGUGAAGCUGAGAAUUUAAGCCCCAGUAAACGGCGGUGGUAACUAUAACCAUCCUAAGGUAGCGAAAUUCCUUGUCGGGUAAGUUCCGACCUGCACGAAUGGCGUAACGACUUCCCUGCUGUCUCAACCACAGGCCCGGUGAAAUUGCACUACGAGUAAAGAUGCUCGUUACGCGCGGCAGGACGAAAAGACCCCGGGACCUUCACUAUAGCUUGGUAUUGGUGUUCGGUUCGGUUUGUGUA
RNAcentral lists this ribosomal RNA (636 nucleotides) under Corynebacterium striatum. RNAcentral's name for it is "partial 23S ribosomal RNA". It matches the Rfam family "Bacterial large subunit ribosomal RNA", at positions 1530 to 2140 of the family's 2925-position model. Lineage: Bacteria; Bacillati; Actinomycetota; Actinomycetes; Mycobacteriales; Corynebacteriaceae. The record is from RNAcentral.